Molecule: ribosomal RNA, 256 nt
Filed under: uncultured bacterium
Lineage: Bacteria
Description: partial 16S ribosomal RNA
Rfam family: Bacterial small subunit ribosomal RNA
Source: RNAcentral
UACGUAGGUGGCGAACGUUAUCCGGAAUUAUUGGGCGUAAAGGGCGCGUAGACGGCCGAAUAAGUUGAUGGUGGUAAAUCGAGGCUCAACCUCGUGGAAGCCAGCAAUACUGUUAGGCUAGAGGAUAGGAGAGGUUAACGGAACUCCCGGUGGAGCGGUAAAAUGCGUAGAUCUCGGGAAGAACACCAAUAACGGCGAAGGCAGUUAACUAGUCUAAUUCUGACGUUGAGGCGCGAAAGCGUGGGGAGCAAAAAGG